Molecule: ribosomal RNA, 491 nt
Filed under: uncultured bacterium
Lineage: Bacteria
Description: partial 16S ribosomal RNA
Rfam family: Bacterial small subunit ribosomal RNA
Source: RNAcentral
GAUGAACGCUAGCUACAGGCUUAACACAUGCAAGUCGAGGGGAAACGGCAUUUAGUGCUUGCACUCUUUGGACGUCGACCGGCGCACGGGUGAGUAACGCGUAUCCAACCAUCGCAUUACUGUGGGAUAACCUGCCGAAAGGCAGACUAAUACCGCAUAGUCUUCGAUUUCGUCAUCAGGUUUGAAGUAAGAUUUAUCAGUAAUGGAUGGGGAUGCGUUUGAUUAGCUUGGUGGCGGGGUAACGGCCCACCAAGGCUACGAUCAGUAGGGGUUCUGAGAGGAAGGUCCCCCACAUUGGAACUGAGACACGGACCAAACUCCUACGGGAGGCAGCAGUGAGGAAUAUUGGACAAGGGUCGGAAGUCUGAUCCAGCCAAGUAGCGUGCAGGAUGACGGCCCUAUGGGUUGUAAACUGCUUUUGUAAGGGGAGAAAGUUAGGUACGUGUACCUAUAUGCAGGUACCAUACGAAUAAGGACCGGCUAAUUCCGUG